UGGGGAAUCUUGCGCAAUGGCCGCAAGGCUGACGCAGCGACGCCGCGUGUGGGAUGACGGCCUUCGGGUUGUAAACCACUGUCGGGAGGAACGAAUACUCGGCUUCGAAUAGGAGCCCGAGGGUGACGGUACCUCCAAAGGAAGCACCGGCUAACUCCGUGCCAGCAGCCGCGGUAAUACGGAGGGUGCGAGCGUUGUCCGGAAUCACUGGGCGUAAAGGGCGCGUAGGUGGCCCGUUAAGUGGUUGGUGAAAUCCCGGGGCUCAACUCCGGGGCUGCCGAUCAGACUGGCGGGCUAGAGCACGGUAGGGGCAGAUGGAAUUCCCGGUGUAGCGGUGGAAUGCGUAGAGAUCGGGAAGAAUACCAGUGGCGAAGGCGUUCUGCUGGGCCGUUGCUGACACUGAGGCGCGACAGCGUGGGGAGCAAACAGG
RNAcentral lists this ribosomal RNA (430 nucleotides) under uncultured bacterium. RNAcentral describes it as "bacterial SSU rRNA". It matches the Rfam family "Bacterial small subunit ribosomal RNA", at positions 355 to 776 of the family's 1533-position model. The record is from RNAcentral.